GCCUAAUACAUGCAAGUCGAACGGGAUUGAGAGCUUGCUUUCAUGAGAGUGGCGUACGGGUGCGUAACGCGUAUGCAACCUACCUUCAUCAGGGGGAUAGCCCGAAGAAAUUCGGAUUAACACCGCAUAAAAACACAGCUUGGCAUCAAGCAAUGUUCAAAUAUUUAUAGGAUGAAGAUGGGCAUGCGUGUCAUUAGCUAGUUGGUAAGGUAACGGCUUACCAAGGCUACGAUGACUAGGGGAUCUGAGAGGAUGACCCCCCACACUGGUACUGAGACACGGACCAGACUCCUACGGGAGGCAGCAGUAAGGAAUAUUGGUCAAUGGAGGCAACUCUGAACCAGCCAUGCCGCGUGCAGGAAGACUGCCUUAUGGGUUGUAAACUGCUUUUAUACGGGAAUAAACCUUAAUUCGUGAAUUAAGCUGAAUGUACCGUUAGAAUAAGGAUCGGCUAACUCCGUGCCAGCAGCCGCGGUAAUACGGAGGAUCCAAGCGUUAUCCGGAUUUAUUGGGUUUAAAGGGAGCGUAGGCGGCUUGUUAAGUCAGGGGUGAAAGACGGUGGCUCAACCAUCGCAGUGCCUUUGAUACUGACGAGCUUGAAUAUAGUUGAGGUAGGCGGAAUGUGGCAAGUAGCGGUGAAAUGCAUAGAUAUGUCACAGAACACCGAUUGCGAAGGCAGCUUACUAAGCUAUUAUUGACGCUGAGGCUCGAAAGCGUGGGGAUCAAACAGGAUUAGAUACCCUGGUAGUCCACGCCCUAAACGAUGAUAACUCGAUGUUGGCGAUAUACAGUCAGCGUCCAAGCGAAAGCGUUAAGUUAUCCACCUGGGGAGUACGCCCGCAAGGGUGAAACUCAAAGGAAUUGACGGGGGCCCGCACAAGCGGAGGA
RNAcentral lists this ribosomal RNA (888 nucleotides) under uncultured bacterium. RNAcentral's name for it is "bacterial SSU rRNA". It matches the Rfam family "Bacterial small subunit ribosomal RNA", at positions 46 to 936 of the family's 1533-position model. The record is from RNAcentral.